UUGUUUGCAGGUGCAGCAGCAUCAAGAUUCACAUACAAAUUCUUUAACAUCUUUAAUUAAUUGGUGUUAUUAACUACACUAAUUAAGGAGAGUGUUUUGGUAUAUUGAGAAUCUUGAUGAUGCUGCAUCAGCAAUAAA
Cicer arietinum (chickpea) is the source of this 138-nucleotide non-coding RNA. Lineage: Eukaryota; Viridiplantae; Streptophyta; Magnoliopsida; Fabales; Fabaceae. The record is from Rfam.